GAUCAUGGCCUCAGGACGAACGCUGGCGGCGUGCUUAACACAUGCAAGUCGAACGGGGCAUAGAGAUAUGCCUAGUGGCGGACGGGUGAGUAACACGUGAGCAACCUAUCCUAUACAACGGGAUAACACAGAGAAAUUUGUGCUAAUACGGUAUAAGACCACACUCCGGCAUCGGAGAGGGGUAAAAGCUGAGGCGGUAUAGGAGGGGCUCGCGGCCCAUUAGCUAGUUGGAGAGGUAACGGCU
Molecule: ribosomal RNA, 244 nt
Filed under: uncultured bacterium
Lineage: Bacteria
Description: partial 16S ribosomal RNA
Rfam family: Bacterial small subunit ribosomal RNA
Source: RNAcentral